AAUGAACGUUGGCGGCGUGGAUUAGGCAUGCGAGUCGUACGAGAACCCGCAAGGGGGAAAGUGGCGAACGGGGUAGUAAUGCGUAGGUGACGUGCCCUGCGGUCGGGGAUAGCUUAGGGAAACUUAAGGUAAUACCCGAUAAUCCCAUGAGGUUUGAAGACCAUAUGGGCAAAGGUGUGAUUCCACCACAGGAGCGGCUUGCGUGGUAUUAGCUAGUUGGUGAGGUAACGGCUCACCAAGGCUUCGAUGCCUAGGGGAUGUUAGCGCAUGAUCCCCACCACUGGGACUGAGAUACUGCCCAGACACCUACGGGUGGCUGCAGUCGAGAAUCUUCGGCAAUGGGGGAAACCCUGACCGAGCGACGCCGCGUGUGGGAUGAAGGCCCUUGGGUUGUAAACCACUGUCAGAGGGGGAUGAAGUGCCAGAGAGCUAUCUCUCUGGUUUGACAUAGCCUCA
This 456-nucleotide ribosomal RNA is filed under the name uncultured bacterium. Its description in RNAcentral is "bacterial SSU rRNA". It matches the Rfam family "Bacterial small subunit ribosomal RNA", at positions 29 to 482 of the family's 1533-position model. The record is from RNAcentral.